GUGUCAGCCGCCGCGGUAAAACGUAGGAGCCAAGCGUUAUCCGAAUUCACUGGGCGUAAAGCGCGUGCAGGCGGCCUGAUAAGUUGGAUGUGAAAUCUCCUGGCUCAACUGGGAGAGGCCGUUCAAUACUGUUGGGCUAGAGGGCGACAGAGGGAGGUGGAAUUCCGGGUGUAGUGGUGAAAUGCGUAGAUAUCCGGAGGAACACCAGAGGCGAAGGCGACCUCCUGGGUCGUACCUGACGCUCAGACGCGAAAGCUAGGGGAGCAAACGGGAU
Molecule: ribosomal RNA, 274 nt
Filed under: uncultured bacterium
Lineage: Bacteria
Description: partial 16S rRNA
Rfam family: Bacterial small subunit ribosomal RNA
Source: RNAcentral